Molecule: ribosomal RNA, 460 nt
Filed under: uncultured bacterium
Lineage: Bacteria
Description: partial 16S ribosomal RNA
Rfam family: Bacterial small subunit ribosomal RNA
Source: RNAcentral
CCUACGGGUGGCAGCAGUGAGGAAUAUUGGUCAAUGGACGAGAGUCUGAACCAGCCAAGUAGCGUGAAGGAUGACUGCCCUAUGGGUUGUAAACUUCUUUUAUAGGGGAAUAAAAUGCGCCACGUGUGGGGUUUUGUAUGUACCAUAUGAAUAAGGAUCGGCUAACUCCGUGCCAGCAGCCGCGGUAAUACGGAGGAUCCGAGCGUUAUCCGGAUUUAUUGGGUUUAAAGGGAGCGUAGGUGGUUUGUUAAGUCAGUUGUGAAAGUUUGGGGCUCAACCCGAAAAUUGCCGUUGAAACUGGCAGUCUUGAGUACAGUAGCGGUGGGCGGAAUUCGUGGUGUAGCGGUUAACUGCUUAGAUAUCACGAAGAACUCCGAUUGCGAAGGCAGUUCACUGGACUGCAACUGACACUGAGGCUCGAAAGUGUGGGUAUCAAACAGGAUUAGAUACCCUUGUAGUC